UGGGGAAUAUUGGACAAUGGGGGCAACCCUGAUCCAGCCAUGCCGCGUGUGUGAAGAAGGCCUUCGGGUUGUAAAGCACUUUUGUCCGGAAAGAAAAGCACUGGGUUAAUACCCUGGUGUUAUGACGGUACCGGAAGAAUAAGCACCGGCUAACUUCGUGCCAGCAGCCGCGGUAAUACGAAGGGUGCAAGCGUUACUCGGAAUUACUGGGCGUAAAGCGUGCGUAGGUGGUGCGUUAAGUCUGUCGUGAAAGCCCCGGGCUCAACCUGGGAAUGGCGAUGGAUACUGGCGCGCUAGAGUGCGGUAGAGGAGAGUGGAAUUCCCGGUGUAGCAGUGAAAUGCGUAGAGAUCGGGAGGAACAUCAGUUGCGAAGGCGGCUCUCUGGACCAGCACUGACACUGAGGCACGAAAGCGUGGGGAGCAAACA
Molecule: ribosomal RNA, 427 nt
Filed under: uncultured Arenimonas sp.
Lineage: Bacteria; Pseudomonadati; Pseudomonadota; Gammaproteobacteria; Lysobacterales; Lysobacteraceae
Description: bacterial SSU rRNA
Rfam family: Bacterial small subunit ribosomal RNA
Source: RNAcentral